AUUGAACGCUGGCGGCAUGCCUUACACAUGCAAGUCGAACGGUAACAGGUCUCCGGAUGCUGACGAGUGGCGAAUGGGUGAGUAAUACAUCGGAACGUGCCUAGUAGUGGGGGAUAACUACUCGAAAGAGUGGCUAAUACCGCAUGAGAUCUACGGAUGAAAGCAGGGGAUCGCAAGACCUUGCGCUACUAGAGCGGCCGAUGGCAGAUUAGGUAGUUGGUGGGAUAAAAGCUUACCAAGCCGACGAUCUGUAGCUGGUCUGAGAGGACGAUCAGCCACACUGGGACUGAGACACGGCCCAGACUCCUACGGGAGGCAGCAGUGGGGAAUUUUGGACAAUGGGCGCAAGCCUGAUCCAGCAAUGCCGCGUGCAGGAUGAAGGCCUUCGGGUUGUAAACUGCUUUUGUACGGAACGAAAAGCCCUGGGUUAAUACCCUGGGGUCAUGACGGUACCGUAAGAAUAAGCACUGGCUAACUACGUGCCAGCCGCCGCAGUAA
RNAcentral lists this ribosomal RNA (498 nucleotides) under uncultured bacterium. Its description in RNAcentral is "partial 16S ribosomal RNA". It matches the Rfam family "Bacterial small subunit ribosomal RNA", at positions 30 to 523 of the family's 1533-position model. The record is from RNAcentral.